Molecule: ribosomal RNA, 549 nt
Filed under: uncultured bacterium
Lineage: Bacteria
Description: bacterial SSU rRNA
Rfam family: Bacterial small subunit ribosomal RNA
Source: RNAcentral
UAGGGAAUCUUCGGCAAUGGGGGCAACCCUGACCGAGCAACGCCGCGUGAGUGAAGAAGGUUUUCGGAUCGUAAAGCUCUGUUGUAAGAGAAGAACGAGUGUGAGAGUGGAAAGUUCACGCUGUGACGGUAUCUUACCAGAAAGGGACGGCUAACUACGUGCCAGCAGCCGCGGUAAUACGUAGGUCCCGAGCGUUAUCCGGAUUUAUUGGGCGUAAAGCGAGCGCAGGCGGUUAGAUAAGUCUGAAGUUAAAGGCUGUGGCUUAACCAUAGUACGCUUUGGAAACUGUUUAACUUGAGUGCAGAAGGGGAGAGUGGAAUUCCAUGUGUAGCGGUGAAAUGCGUAGAUAUAUGGAGGAACACCGGUGGCGAAAGCGGCUCUCUGGUCUGUAACUGACGCUGAGGCUCGAAAGCGUGGGGAGCAAACAGGAUUAGAUACCCUGGUAGUCCACGCCGUAAACGAUGAGUGCUAGGUGUUGGGUCCUUUCCGGGACUCAGUGCCGCAGCUAACGCAUUAAGCACUCCGCCUGGGGAGUACNACCGCAAGGNU